CCUACGGGAGGCAGCAGUGGGGAAUAUUGGACAAUGGGCGAAAGCCUGAUCCAGCCAUGCCGCGUGUGUGAAGAAGGCCUUCGGGUUGUAAAGCACUUUCAGUGGGGAAGAAAGCCUUGGGGCUAAUACCCUCGAGGAAGGACAUCACCCACAGAAGAAGCACCGGCUAACUCCGUGCCAGCAGCCGCGGUAAUACGAAGGGUGCGAGCGUUAAUCGGAAUUACUGGGCGUAAAGCGCGCGUAGGCGGUCUGAUAAGCCGGUUGUGAAAGCCCCGGGCUCAACCUGGGAACGGCAUCCGGAACUGUCCGGCUAGAGUGCAGGAGAGGAAGGUAGAAUUCCCGGUGUAGCGGUGAAAUGCGUAGAGAUCGGGAGGAAUACCAGUGGCGAAGGCAGCCUUCUGGACUGACACUGACGCUGAGGUGCGAAAGCGUGGGUAGCAAACAGGAUUAGAUACCCCUGUAGUC
Molecule: ribosomal RNA, 465 nt
Filed under: Vreelandella stevensii
Lineage: Bacteria; Pseudomonadati; Pseudomonadota; Gammaproteobacteria; Oceanospirillales; Halomonadaceae
Description: partial 16S ribosomal RNA
Rfam family: Bacterial small subunit ribosomal RNA
Source: RNAcentral